This 497-nucleotide ribosomal RNA is filed under the name uncultured bacterium. RNAcentral's name for it is "partial 16S ribosomal RNA". It matches the Rfam family "Bacterial small subunit ribosomal RNA", at positions 28 to 507 of the family's 1533-position model. The record is from RNAcentral.
GAUGAACGCUGGCGGCGUGCCUAAUACAUGCAAGUCGAGCGAACAGACGAGGAGCUUGCUCCUCUGACGUUAGCGGCGGACGGGUGAGUAACACGUGGAUAACCUACCUAUAAGACUGGGAUAACUUCGGGAAACCGGAGCUAAUACCGGAUAACAUGUUGAACCGCAUGGUUCAACAGUGAAAGACGGUUUUGCUGUCACUUAUAGAUGGAUCCGCGUCGCAUUAGCUAGUUGGUAAGGUAACGGCUUACCAAGGCAACGAUGCGUAGCCGACCUGAGAGGGUGAUCGGCCACACUGGAACUGAGACACGGUCCAGACUCCUACGGGAGGCAGCAGUAGGGAAUCUUCCGCAAUGGGCGAAAGCCUGACGGAGCAACGCCGCGUGAGUGAAGAAGGUCUUCGGAUCGUAAAACUCUGUUAUUAGGGAAGAACAAAUGUGUAAGUAACUAUGCACGUCUUGACGGUACUUAAUCAGAAAGCCACGGCUAACUACGUG